This 922-nucleotide ribosomal RNA is filed under the name uncultured bacterium. RNAcentral's name for it is "bacterial SSU rRNA". It matches the Rfam family "Bacterial small subunit ribosomal RNA", at positions 9 to 916 of the family's 1533-position model. The record is from RNAcentral.
GAGUUUGAUCCUGGCUCAGGAUGAACGCUAGCGACAGGCUUAACACAUGCAAGUCGAGGGGCAGCGGGGGUGAUGGCUUGCCAUCACCUGCCGGCGACCGGCGCACGGGUGAGUAACACGUAUGCAACCUGCCCGCCACAGGGGGAUAAGCGGAAGAAAUUCCGUCUAAUACCGCGUGACGCGGCACCGGGGCAUCCCGGUGCCGCCAAAGGGAUUACCGGUGGCGGAUGGGCAUGCGGCGCAUUAGCUAGUCGGCGGGGUAACGGCCCGCCGAGGCGACGAUGCGUAGGGGUUCUGAGAGGAAGGUCCCCCACACUGGUACUGAGACACGGACCAGACUCCUACGGGAGGCAGCAGUGAGGAAUAUUGGUCAAUGGGCGCGAGCCUGAACCAGCCAAGUCGCGUGAGGGAUGACGGUCCUACGGAUUGUAAACCUCUUUUGCCGGGGAGCAAGCGUGCGUUCGUGAACGCGCGUCGAGAGUACCCGGAGAAAAAGCAUCGGCUAACUCCGUGCCAGCAGCCGCGGUAAUACGGAGGAUGCGAGCGUUAUCCGGAUUUAUUGGGUUUAAAGGGUGCGUAGGCGGGAUGCCAAGUCAGCGGUAAAAAUGCGGUGCUCAACGCCGUCGAGCCGUUGAAACUGGCGUUCUUGAGUGGGCGAGAAGUAUGCGGAAUGCGUGGUGUAGCGGUGAAAUGCAUAGAUAUCACGCAGAACUCCGAUUGCGAAGGCAGCAUACCGGCGCCCUACUGACGCUGAGGCACGAAAGCGUGGGUAUCGAACAGGAUUAGAUACCCUGGUAGUCCACGCAGUAAACGAUGAAUGCUAACUGUCCGGCUCGAAUGAGCGCUGGGCGGUACAGCGAAAGCGUUAAGCAUUCCACCUGGGGAGUACGCCGGCAACGGUGAAACUCAAAGGAAUUGACGG